GCCUGGAUAGCUCAGUUGGUUAGAGCGUGGUGCUGAGAACCAAGGUUGCAGGUUUGAUCCCCGUAUGGGACA
Molecule: transfer RNA, 72 nt
Filed under: Podarcis lilfordi (Lilford's wall lizard)
Lineage: Eukaryota; Metazoa; Chordata; Lepidosauria; Squamata; Lacertidae
Description: tRNA.Ser
Source: RNAcentral